CAAUUAAUUUUUCUUAUUAGUACUUAUUUGGAGUUGCAUGAAUUUUUCUGAGCCAAUAAAUUGGAGGAAAUUUGUCUUAUAAAAUGGAGAGAUGUAGAACAUUGUGGUCAGUUAUAGGAUAGUACUUCUCUCAUGUUGAUUCCCAGAACUUAGAAAAUAGAUCCUAAAUUAAUAGUGUGGCGUACACGAUCUCUGGGCUAUAAUAAUUUAGGAAAAUGUUGGAAAAUGAUAAAGGCGAAGGGGAGGAUUGAAGCUAAGUAUACCCCUUAAAUAGUAAACAUUUGACACUGAGAGGAGUGCUCUGGAGAUUAACAAGUAGUACUCUGUCAGGGAUAAUUUUCUGGGCAGCUAAGGUUGUUUGUGUGGUAAGGGAAGGCGGCGACAUAUCAUAACUGUAAUUGUUUGAUAAAAUUCCCAAAGUUAGUUUCGGAUUGUAAGGGUGAAAGUAAGUGCAACAGUUGGGUGUUGGAGGGGGAGGGGAGCAGAGCUUGUCAGCCCUGGCGCCACGACAGGGUUAACGGCGGUAGCGCCCGAUGCACUCUGGGAGUUGUAGGCCGCGGGCGCAAGCAUUGUGGGAAUUGUCGUAAAAGUCUGCUUUCCUGCUGUGAUGGCCGCCCCUGAAUCUGGGAGUUGGGGGUUUCUGGCUUUCUGGAGGGUUUAGGGGGCUGGCUGUCCUGUCAGAAGGCCACCAACAGCCCCCUCAGGUUGCCAAGGGCCUGUUAGUUGUGUUCCUGGGAGGUGGACGAGCGGCCUGACUGGUUAACGUUGGGGUUUGCAGUCAUUAACUCGGCCAAGGGGCCUUUAGAGACUGCAGGCUUGGUGAGGAGGGUCCCAGCCGGCUGGACGCUGGUUGUCUGACUUUCUACCUUCGAAAUGUCUGGAUGACCAGGGCCUAUGUUUUGGAGUGUGCUUUAUGUUGUGGUUUGUGUCCUGCACCCUCCACUGUUUACAGUAUUCAGCCCGGUCCAUGUAGCAGUUGGUACCCAUGACCCUGUUUGGGGUUAGUUGGGGAUCUUUUUCUUAGGCCUAGCGGGACUGAUGCAAGAUCUGGAAGUUUGGAAGGUGUGUAGAGCAAUGUACUGGUGUUGUCUGUCUGGGCUGUAAGAAAUUGCAUGAGUUAUGAGCGUGGCCCUGAGUGUGUGGUUGGCUUUCUCUUGCUCUUGGUGAACUUUACCCCUUAUUUGUAAAUGCUGAGAGACAGUGUCAGGCAGUUCCUACUUGUGAAAUGCUUUUUUGUUAACUUGGAUGCAUUUUUAACUCUUUGGGAUCUUCCAGAGGACUCUUUUGCAACUGUUUGUAGAAAGGUAUGUGUGGAAAACUGAAUUUAAAGCAAAUGCCAGUGUCACAGUACCUUUUAGUUCUAGGGAGCAAGCCCCCUGGGCUUCCCUGGUGCUGUGAAGUUAUUUGGGUUCAUGUAUGAAAAUCAGGUUUGCUUUGAGUUGUGUUACCUAACUUUGGGCUCAUAGUGUUUCUCUGCACGUCAGGACACUGAUCUUUGGUAUUGGGUACUCUUUCAACAGUUGAGGCAAAAUGGAGCACUAACAUGUAACUGCAUGUAUCAGAAUAUCAAGAUAACACUAGGUGGCAAAGCAGUACCUGUUUUACCUGUUCACAGAAACAUGGACCUCAUUGUCUCUGCCACCCUGUACUGCCCCAUAAAUUCUGCCUUAUUUCCAUGGUCUGGUUGUUGUCUAUGUAACAGAGGCUAUGUUGUCUAUGUUGAGGCCCAACUGGUCAUGAAAGCCAUUUCUCAGACAGCAUUAUUAUGUAUUUAAAAGCAUUUUUCCCCACAAGUAGAACUGGCAUCUAGAAAGUUUUUCAUUCAAGUUUGGUAAAGUAGGGAAUUUGAAAUAAGGUACAACAGUGGUUUUGAAAAUCAGCUAUUUUUUAGUUUUAGGGGUGGCUAUGUGAUAGAAAUGAUUUGUAGAGAGAGUAAAAAAAAUAAUAUUCUGUUUUUCUUGAUAUUUUAGAGCAUAUAAAAACUGGGCCACUUUUAUGUAUCAUUAAAAAGCCCUUUGGCAUUUUGUGUUGAAUGGGGUUUUCAUAACUUCUCUCUUGUCUGGAUUUGUGUAAUGGUAGAGAAAGGAGCAAAGCUAGCUGGGUUUGUUUAUGUGUGAUUUGUUGAAAAUGAUUUCAGGUAUAGGCUGAUAGACAGAUACUGUUCUUGCUAGUCAGAUCUCAGCCAAGUAUUUCCUUCCCUCUGACCCUGCCCUCAUGUGUCUCAGAAUAUUAACUAAUCUCCAUUUGAAAAAAGAUUGGGAAAUUUUCCCCUUUAUAAGUGCUCCAUCUUGUCCAAAUUUGUUAUUAUUGUUGUGAUAAAAUACUGUUUUUUCUGGUGAAUUGGUUUUGUAUCUUAGAAAGACUGGAUGGCUACAAUUUGUAGAUUUGUAGGAUCAUUCAAAACUGACCACAGGUACACUGUUAAUUGGCUUUGAAAGAAGAUGCCUAAGUUUUUAAUUGCCAAGUUACCUCUGACUUGAGUUAAGCAGAACUAACCAACCAUUCAUUAGAAAGUGCUUUGAGAGUGGAAGCGUACUUAACUUUUGUUCUAGGUAUUGUUGUGACCUGGCCUAACAACUUUUGAUUCCUGCCUCUUGGAAGCCAACUAUUAUGUUAGAAUUGGCCUGAAAUCACUGUGUUGUGAGAAACCCAAAGAAGCUAGAUGAGACAUAAAGUGGAGAGGCCAAGGAGCACCAAAGAAGCAGAACUGUAAGUGAAGAAGCCAUUUUAAAAAUGGAUCCUCCAGCCCCAGCUGCCCUAGUUGUUGCUGUGUAAAUCAGGUCUACCAAGCUGUCACCACAGGAGCCUGCAAGAGUCAUAGCAUUCCUGGACUUGGGGCACCCCCAGUGCUGAUACAGCUGCAGUGACCAAGACUUAGAUCACAACACUCAAUUCCCUUUGAAUAUCUGGAAAGCCUUCCCUAGAAGGACGCGUUUAAACAAGUCCAGACUGCGAAGAUUAAAAUAAAUACCUGCCUGUUAAAUGCCCAGACACAGGUGAACAUCCACAAUCAUUAAGAACACCCAGGAAAACAUGACCUCACCAAACAAACUAAAUAAGUUACCAGUGACCAAUUCUGGAGUGAUGGACAUAUGUGACUUUUCAGACAAUGAGUUCAAAAUAGCUGUCCUGAAGAAGCUUAGUGAAUUUCAAGGUAAAUUAUAUAGUUUUAAAAUUGUGACUGAUUGUAUUUUUCAACUAGAAGUUAUUGGUCCUUGCAACUAACUAAAGUGUUUCUUCUACAAUAAUAAUCCACUUGUUCAUUUAGUGAAUACAAAUUAAGUAUCCUUUAUCCAAAAUGCCUGGCACCAUAAGUGUUUCAGAUUUCUGAUUUUGGGGGGAUAUGGAAUAUUUGCACAUACAUAAUGAGAUAUAUUGGGGAUGAAACCCAAGUCUAAACAGAAAAUUUAUUUGUGUUUCCUAUAUACCUUAUAUAAAAGCCCGAAGGUAAUUUUAUACAAUAUUUUAAAUGAUUUUGUGCAUGAAAAAAAGUUUGUGUUAAGUACUUUUGUGUGGAAUUUUCCACUAUGGCAUCAUUCAGGUUGGUGCUCAAAAAGUUUCAGAUUUCAGGCCAUGUGAUCUCAAAUUUUUGGAUCAGGGAUGCCCAACUUGUACUUAUUGAAUGUAUAUGAGGGUUACAAUGGUGAAUAAGACAAAUAGGACUUUAUGGAUCUUAAAGUGUGCCUGGGACCAGUAUGUGCAAACACCCUAAUGUAGGAUGGACCUUAGUGCUUUUGAGAACUGUAGAGAAGCCCUUAUGGGUUGACCAUACUGAGCAAAGGAGGAGGGCAGGGGCCAGAGCAUGGUACACUCCCUUAAGGGAAACACACACACACAUGCAUACACAGACACACACAUAUACACACAGUAUUAGUUUUAUGUUGUUGCUGUUACAAAUUACCACAAAAUUAGUGGUUUGAAAUAACAUUUAUUAUCUUAGAGUUCUACAGGUUAGAAUUCUAACAUGGUCUCAAUGGGCUACAAUUACUGCAUUUCUUUCUGGAGAUUCUAAGGGAAAGUUCAUCUCCUUGCUUUUUCCACUUCUAGAGGCCACCCACAUUCCUUGGCUCUUGGACUCCUUCCUCCAUCUUCAAAGACAACAGCCCUUUUGUUACUACAGAGGUUCUGUUAAUUGUCUGUGGCGAAUGUAUCUUGCUCUUGCUCUGUAAACCUAUCUUGCCCUUCCUCAAUAAACUUCAUUUCACACUUGC
Molecule: non-coding RNA, 4211 nt
Organism: Microcebus murinus (gray mouse lemur)
Lineage: Eukaryota; Metazoa; Chordata; Mammalia; Primates; Cheirogaleidae
Source: RefSeq, a predicted model, not a curated record